AUGGCCAGCCGCGACGACCUCGCCGCGCUCCGCGAGCAGACCGCCCUCGCCUCCUCCGCGGCCGUCUCCGUCUCCGACCUCGACCUCGCGUACCAGCUCCAGCUCGCCGAGGCCAUCCAGGCAUCUCUCCGACUCGACGCCCUCUCCAGUAAUCCCUCCUCUUCCAAAGGCAAAGCCCCCAUCGCCGCCGCCGCCGCCUCCUCCUCCUCCUCGUCCUCGUCCCGGUCCCAGCCCGCCCCUGCGCCGCCGGAGCCCUCGGACGCCUCCUACGCCCUGGCGGUCCACGCCGCCGACCUCGCGCGCGCCGAGGAGGACCACCGCUACGCCGAGGCCUGCCGCGCCUACCACGCCAGGGCCGCCGCCUCCGCCUGCGUCGCCGCCCACGACGCCAUUUUCGCGCGCGAACUCGCCGCUGUCCCGGAGGACCAGUGGGCCCACGACGGAGACAACAUCGAGCGCCCCCUGGACUCGACCAAGCCCCUCUUCCGCGUCAUGUUCAAGGGCAUGGCGAGCAAGGAGGUGGUCGGGUCGCGGGACUGGGACCCCCGCGUCGCGGUCCUCGCCGUGGCGCUGUGCGACUCCCAGGGAAAGGUGGUGCUCAGGAUACAGAAGCCGGUGGAAGGGUUUGUGGGCGGACGCAUGAUGCUCGAGGCAAUGGCUCUCACCGAAGGCCUCCAGGCGGCGCUCGGGUUAGGGAUCCAGAGCAUCAGGAUUCUCAACGAUUACAAGGCACUCCAUAACCAUAUGCGUGGAAUUUGGCGCCCGAAACAGGCGAAGCUUGCAGAAAUGAUAGAUCAGGUUCUGUCAGUAGCAAAGAAAUUCAAACAAUGUGAAAUUUCACUUGUGGAACGAGGCAAACUUGAUUACGUGAUGAAAUUAGCAAGAGAUUCGAUACUCUCUCAGAUUGCCAAAGCAGUUGCUGUGAAUGCUAGCAAGGAGAAAAGAGAGACCUGCGCCAUCUGCCUGGAAGACACCGAUGUUUCUAAAAUUCAUGUGGUCGAAGGCUGUGCACAUCGCUUUUGUUUCUGCUGCAUGAAGGAGCAUGUGAAAGUUAAGCUACUCCAUGGAACUCUACCAGCUUGCCCACAAGAUGGUUGCACUACAAAGCUAACCGUGGAGGGUUCAAAGAUAUUCCUAUCGCCUCGACUGUUAGAUAUCAUGGUGCAACGGAUCAGGGAAGGACAGAUCCCUGCUACUCAAAAGAUUUACUGCCCGUACCCCAAGUGUUCAGCCUUGAUGUCCUUGAGUGAAAUGAAACACCCAUUGCAAGAAUCUUCCUCAAAGUACACCAUUGCUGAUGCUGCCACAUUGAGGAAGUGUGUCAAAUGCAGAGGCUCAUUCUGCAUCAGCUGUAAGGUCCCAUGGCAUGACAGGAUGUCUUGUUACGACUACAAGAGUAGGUACCCCCAAGCUCGUCCAGAUGAUGCGAAGUUACAGAACCUUGCACGGCAGCAGCUGUGGCGCCAAUGUGUCAAAUGCAAGCACAUGAUUGAACUCUCAGAGGGCUGCUGCCAUAUGACCUGUGUAUGCGGCUAUGAAUUCUGCUACACCUGUGGGAAAGAAUGGAAGGACAAGAAAGCGACCUGCUCCUGCCCGCUGUGGGAUGAAGAUAACAUUAUCCGUGAUGGCAUGGAGGAGGAGGAUGACGACGACUAUGACUAUGACUAUGACUAUGACUAUGACUAUGACUAUGACUAUGAGGAUGAGGAUGAGGAUGAUGAUGAUUACAAUGAUUACUAUGCUAGAGAAGGGCAACACUAUGACAGGCAUAAUGCUGGCCACCAACAUGGUGGAGGAGCGAGGAAUUUUUAUGACUACAACAAUAAUCCCGGGCAUCAUCCUCACCAUGGCGGUGGAGGGGCACGAAAUUUCUACAACUACAAUUAG
This 1887-nucleotide ribosomal RNA is filed under the name Triticum aestivum (bread wheat). Its description in RNAcentral is "partial small subunit ribosomal RNA". Lineage: Eukaryota; Viridiplantae; Streptophyta; Magnoliopsida; Poales; Poaceae. The record is from RNAcentral.